AGCGUAGACGGCGCAGCAAGUCUGAUGUGAAAGGCAGGGGCUUAACCCCUGGACUGCAUUGGAAACUGCUGUGCUUGAGUGCCGGAGGGGUAAGCGGAAUUCCUAGUGUAGCGGUGAAAUGCGUAGAUAUCGGGAGGAACACCAGUGGCGAAGGCGACCUACUGGGCACCAACUGACGCUGAGGCUCGAAAGCAUGGGUAGCAAACA
RNAcentral lists this ribosomal RNA (207 nucleotides) under uncultured bacterium. RNAcentral describes it as "partial 16S ribosomal RNA". It matches the Rfam family "Bacterial small subunit ribosomal RNA", at positions 568 to 774 of the family's 1533-position model. The record is from RNAcentral.